CUUUGUUGAUCUCAUUAUAAUUCCUUUUAUUCUGGACCGAUUCCACUUAUACUCUUUCAUUAAACCUCUUGUUUAAUAAAAGACUGGGGGGCAAUGUUGGGCCAUGAUCCUUUUCCUUAUUGGGUCAGACUUAAUGGGCUCCUCCAUGGGGUUAUGAUUAUUCUUGCCCUAUUGGUCCGGAUGCAGUGGGCCGAAUUACUAGAUGAGUAUGCUUCCACUUGGGCUUUGACCGGUGUAGAUUGGGGAUAGAACUUUGAC
RNAcentral lists this long non-coding RNA (258 nucleotides) under Panax ginseng (ginseng). RNAcentral describes it as "long non-coding RNA (PGIN_LNC016967)". The record is from RNAcentral. Lineage: Eukaryota; Viridiplantae; Streptophyta; Magnoliopsida; Apiales; Araliaceae.